UACAGAGGUCCCAAGCGUUGUUCGGAUUCACUGGGCGUAAAGGGUGCGUAGGCGGUCGGGUAAGUCUGAUGUGAAAUCUCACAGCUUAACUGUGAAACUGCAUUGGAUACUAUUCGGCUAGAGAGUUGGAGGGGGACUGGAAUUCUUGGUGUAGCAGUGAAAUGCGUAGAUAUCAAGAGGAACACCAGUGGCGAAGGCGAGUCCCUGGACAACUUCUGACGCUGAGGCACGAAAGCUAGGGGAGCAAACAGG
This 252-nucleotide ribosomal RNA is filed under the name uncultured bacterium. Its description in RNAcentral is "partial 16S ribosomal RNA". It matches the Rfam family "Bacterial small subunit ribosomal RNA", at positions 524 to 776 of the family's 1533-position model. The record is from RNAcentral.